Xiphophorus hellerii (green swordtail) is the source of this 219-nucleotide long non-coding RNA. RefSeq lists it as uncharacterized. Lineage: Eukaryota; Metazoa; Chordata; Actinopteri; Cyprinodontiformes; Poeciliidae. The transcript is spliced from 2 exons. The record is from RefSeq and is a predicted model, not a curated record.
UCGGUUGAGUGUACGUUCAAUGUGGGGGGACCUUUUGUUUUGUUCCGCGGACCAUGUGUUGCCCAGGGAAGCGUUGGCUGGCGCACUUGGAGCCGCGUGGGGCAUUCAAGCUCAAGAAGCUGAAGCUUUGUUCCUCUGGAGUCAGUGUGGCUAAUGAGUUCUGACGGCAUUUUUGGGACGUUGUAAGACGUGUCCACAAUAAAUGGCUGUAGAAACGAA